This 395-nucleotide ribosomal RNA is filed under the name uncultured bacterium. RNAcentral describes it as "bacterial SSU rRNA". It matches the Rfam family "Bacterial small subunit ribosomal RNA", at positions 29 to 420 of the family's 1533-position model. The record is from RNAcentral.
AGCGAACGUUUGCGGCGGGCUUAACACAUGCAAGUCGAACGGGCUGUUCCUUCGGGGGCAGUCAGUGGCGCACGGGUGCGUAACACGUAGGUAAUCAACCCUCUGGUUGGGGAUAACACUUCGAAAGGAGUGCUAAUACCCGGUAUGGCGCAGCGGUCUUCGGAUCGCGGCGAGAAAGACCCGCAAGGGUUGCCAGAGGACGAGCCUGCGGCCCAUCAGCUAGUUGGCGAGGUAACGGCUCACCAAGGCGAAGACGGGUAGCUGGUCUGAGAGGAUGAUCAGCCACACUGGAACUGAGACACGGUCCAGACUCCUACGGGAGGCAGCAGUGGGGAAUAUUGCGCAAUGGGCGAAAGCCUGACGCAGCAAUGCCGCGUGAGUGAUGAAGGCCUCGG